Molecule: ribosomal RNA, 342 nt
Filed under: Isonychia ussurica
Lineage: Eukaryota; Metazoa; Arthropoda; Insecta; Ephemeroptera; Isonychiidae
Description: partial 16S rRNA
Source: RNAcentral
GGUAACUUAGUCUUAUAAUCGUUAACGGAUCAACCACUCACGAAUCGGUGUAAAUUAUAAAGAAAAGUUAGCUUUAUUUUCCUGUCACCCCAACAGAAUAGUUUCUGAAAUUAAACAAAUCCAGACCAAAUCUUUUAAACUCAUACACUAUCAAGAUCUAUAGGGUCUUCUCGUCCUCCAACAUUAUCUCAGCCUUUUCACUAAGAAGUUAAAUUCAAUUAUGUUUCAAAUGAGACAGUUUGUACCUCGUCCAACCAUUCAUUCCAGCCUUUAAUUAAAAGACUAAUGAUUAUGCUACCUUUGCACGGUCAAAAUACCGCGGCCCUUCAAUUUUCAGUGGGC